GACGAACGCUGGCGGCGUGCUUAACACAUGCAAGUCGAGCGGUAAGGCCCUUUCGGGGGUACACGAGCGGCGAACGGGUGAGUAACACGUGGGUGACCUGCCCUCAGCUCUGGGAUAAGCCUGGGAAACCGGGUCUAAUACUGGAUAUGACUCCAUGACGCAUGUUGUGGGGUGGAAAGCCUUGUGCGGCUGAGGAUGGGCCCGCGGCCUAUCAGCUUGUUGGUGGGGUGAGGCCUACCAAGGCGACGACGGGUAGCCGGCCUGAGAGGGCGACCGGCCACACUGGGGACUGAGACACGGCCCAGACUCCUACGGGAGGCAGCAGUGGGGAAUCUUGCGCAAUGGGCGAAAGCCUGACGCAGCGACGCCGCGUGAGGGAUGACGGCCU
Molecule: ribosomal RNA, 388 nt
Filed under: uncultured bacterium
Lineage: Bacteria
Description: bacterial SSU rRNA
Rfam family: Bacterial small subunit ribosomal RNA
Source: RNAcentral